Peromyscus eremicus (cactus mouse) is the source of this 460-nucleotide long non-coding RNA. RefSeq lists it as uncharacterized. The record is from RefSeq and is a predicted model, not a curated record. NCBI's taxonomy places the organism in Eukaryota, Metazoa, Chordata, Mammalia, Rodentia, Cricetidae. The transcript has 4 exons.
AGGGGCUGAAGGAACAGAUGCUGGUGUUUGGCGCUGACAUUACACACGUGCAGUUGGCUCUCUGCACCCACAGGCUCUUCAUCCAGAGAUCCAACCAACCGAAUCCCACACAUGUACCAGGCACUCCUCUUGCCAUCCAGGAUGUUACCGGAGAGCUGGGAAAGAAGAGCGUGCUUCUGUAGGUGAGGCCAACCCACUGGGCACUGAGGGCUUCCAGUCAUUUCUAAUCAGCUGUGUGUCUGCACCUUUCCUCACUUGAUUAGUCCUACUCGUUAAAUCAGAAGAUCGGCAAGGAGACUCCUUUUGGAAAACCCAGAGGUACUGGAAACAUUCAUCUACAACCUCUUUGAAGAAUGUGGUGAGAAAAAUACAUACAUAUAAUAAAGAUAUGUCUAUGAGCAGUGCAGUUCCGAGGGGUGUUCAAAGGCUCAGAAGCGCUUCUGGAGGGCAGACUGGAUAU